Molecule: ribosomal RNA, 440 nt
Filed under: uncultured bacterium
Lineage: Bacteria
Description: partial 16S ribosomal RNA
Rfam family: Bacterial small subunit ribosomal RNA
Source: RNAcentral
CCUACGGGAGGCAGCAGUAGGGAAUAUUGCUCAAUGGGCGAAACCCUGAAGCAGCAACGCCGCGUGGAGGAUGAAUGUUUUAGGAUUGUAAACUCCUUUUGUUAGAGAAGUUUAUCACGGUAUCUAACGAAUAAGCCCCGGCUAACUCCGUGCCAGCAGCCGCGGUAAUACGGAGGGUGCAAGCGUUACUCGGAAUCACUGGUCUUAAAGAGUGCUGAGGCGGGGUAAUAAGUCAGAUGUGAAAUCCUGCAGCUUAACUACAGAACUGCAUUUGAAACUGGUACUCUGGAGUGUGGGUGAGGUAGGUGGAAUUCGUGGUGUAGGGGUAAAAUCCGUAGAGAUCAAGAGGAAUACUCAGUGCGAAGGCGACCUGCUGGAACAUUACUGACGUUGAUGCACGAAAGCGUGGGGAGCAAACAGGAUUAGAUACCCCAGUAGUC